UUACAAUAAAUGAAGGUAAUGAAGGUAAUGUAAUUUUGAUUAUUAAAUUAAUUUGUUUAAAAACAUGAAGAUAAUAUUCUAACAAUAAAUUUAUUGUAGGUAUCGUUUGCUGUAAUCUAGUAUAAUGAAGUAGGGUAAGAUAGAAAGACCAUGAAGCUUUCUUUAUUUAUAAUUCUUAUAUAUUAUUUUUUUAUUAGAUUGGCAAUUUUUUUCUACAUAAUAAUGUAAUCUGAAAUCUGAUACAUAUUUAUGUUGAUCAUAUGUAAUCAUAUGAAUAUUUCUAACUGUAAACUAAUAAUUGAUUCUUUUGUACAGACAAAGAUUCAGCUGUUAUUUAUUAUUCACUUCCUAACUUUCGAGAUAAAUUCUCGAAAUCUCGAAAAAUUUCUUGCUCUCCUGAGAAAACAAGGUUUCGCGUGGCGAUAGACAGAAAGAAAAGAAAACAAAAAGACUGGAAUCGGAGAGAUCGUACAUCGAAAUAUCAGAGACUGGAUUGCACGUUUCAUUGUUGACUGUCGUUCGUCGUUCCGUUUAACUAUUCAUUUCAUUUCCCUUGGAACGAUACUGAAACACUUGACACGAUUUCUGAACUGUUCUCUCGUUGUUAAUGCAGCAACCGAGCCUUCUUAUUUUUAAUCUUCCUCGUCCUUCCACUCAUUCGCACCGGAUCACUUGAGACAGUCGCGAGAGAUUGUCUCCUUCGACUCCAUCUUAGAGGAGACAGAAGGGUAGCUUUUUCCUGAGAAGUGUUUGCGUUUGCAGCGCGAGAAAUACGGCAUCGUCUGGCCGUAAUUACGUCGAAACGUCGUAGACGACGAGCUGUAGAGAGGUUAGAGAGAGCGAAAUAUUCACAGGAAGACGGCACCUGUCGCUUCGGCCUGCAGAAUUUCCGGGAUACGAAGAUAUGUGUCGCGUUCCAACGCGAGAAUGGAACUUGAUAAAAGG
Molecule: long non-coding RNA, 945 nt
Organism: Apis florea (little honeybee)
Lineage: Eukaryota; Metazoa; Arthropoda; Insecta; Hymenoptera; Apidae
Source: RefSeq, a predicted model, not a curated record